CGGAGGAUCCAAGCGUUAUCCGGAUUUAUUGGGUUUAAAGGGUGCGUAGGUGGCUUUGUAAGUCAGUGGUGAAAGUUUUCAGCUUAACUGGAAAAUUGCCAUUGAUACUGCAGGGCUUGAGUUCAGAUGAGGUAGGCGGAAUGUGUCAUGUAGCGGUGAAAUGCAUAGAUAUGACACAGAACACCGAUUGCGAAGGCAGCUUACUAAACUGAAACUGACACUGAGGCACGAAAGCGUGGGGAUCAAACAGGAUUAGAUACCCUGGUAGUCCACGCCCUAAACGAUGAUCACUCGAUGUGUGCGACAUACAGUACGCGUCCAAGCGAAAGCGUUAAGUGAUCCACCUGGGGAGUACGCCGGCAACGGUG
RNAcentral lists this ribosomal RNA (368 nucleotides) under uncultured organism. Its description in RNAcentral is "bacterial SSU rRNA". It matches the Rfam family "Bacterial small subunit ribosomal RNA", at positions 526 to 896 of the family's 1533-position model. The record is from RNAcentral.